Molecule: ribosomal RNA, 515 nt
Filed under: uncultured bacterium
Lineage: Bacteria
Description: partial 16S ribosomal RNA
Rfam family: Bacterial small subunit ribosomal RNA
Source: RNAcentral
GAUGAACGCUGGCGGCGUGCCUAAUACAUGCAAGUCGAGCGAAUGGAUUAAGAGCUUGCUCUUAUGAAGUUAGCGGCGGACGGGUGAGUAACACGUGGGUAACCUGCCCAUAAGACUGGGAUAACUCCGGGAAACCGGGGCUAAUACCGGAUAACAUUUUGAACCGCAUGGUUCGAAAUUGAAAGGCGGCUUCGGCUGUCACUUAUGGAUGGACCCGCGUCGCAUUAGCUAGUUGGUGAGGUAACGGCUCACCAAGGCAACGAUGCGUAGCCGACCUGAGAGGGUGAUCGGCCACACUGGGACUGAGACACGGCCCAGACUCCUACGGGAGGCAGCAGUGGGGAAUCUUCCGCAACGGACGAAAGUCUGACGGAGCAACGCCGCGUGAGUGAUGAAGGCUUUCGGGUCGUAAAACUCUGUUGUUAGGGAAGAACAAGUGCUAGUUGAAUAAGCUGGCACCUUGACGGUACCUAACCAGAAAGCCACGGCUAACUACGUGCCAGCAGCCGCGGUAA